AAACGACUCUCGGCAACGGAUAUCUCGGCUCUCGCAUCGAUGAAGAACGUAGCGAAAUGCGAUACUUGGUGUGAAUUGCAGAAUCCCGUGAACCAUCGAGUCUUUGAACGCAAGUUGCGCCCGAAGCCUUUAGGCUCGAGGGCACGCCUGCCUGGGCGUCACG
RNAcentral lists this ribosomal RNA (163 nucleotides) under Atriplex undulata. Its description in RNAcentral is "5.8S ribosomal RNA". It matches the Rfam family "5.8S ribosomal RNA". Rfam says of the family: 5.8S ribosomal RNA (5.8S rRNA) is a component of the large subunit of the eukaryotic ribosome. It is transcribed by RNA polymerase I as part of the 45S precursor that also contains 18S and 28S rRNA. Functionally, it is thought that 5.8S rRNA may be involved in ribosome translocation. The record is from RNAcentral. Lineage: Eukaryota; Viridiplantae; Streptophyta; Magnoliopsida; Caryophyllales; Amaranthaceae.